Molecule: long non-coding RNA, 974 nt
Organism: Lycium ferocissimum
Lineage: Eukaryota; Viridiplantae; Streptophyta; Magnoliopsida; Solanales; Solanaceae
Exons: 2
Source: RefSeq, a predicted model, not a curated record
AUUUUGGGGCCCGCCUGGGCAUUUUAUUUAGUAAUAAAGCAAAGUCCAAUAAUAAAGACUGAGACCAAAACACGGCCCAGCCCCAAAAAAUCCUAAAAUAACAUCCUAAUACACUAGAAGUCAAAAAAUAGAUUAGGAAAGUACAUAUUUGAAGGGCAAAAGCCCUAUUUCCAUUUGUUGUCCACUGAAGCUCCAAGCUUCAACUAUGGCUGCUCGUCUAUCUUCUUCUUCGAUCUGCUCUCAUUUCGUCCUCUAAUGAUGAAAAUUCGUUCUGAAGAGAAGAGUAUUCAUUCCUGCCAUGUUUCUAAUCCUUUGUUUGCUUCAUUUCGCUCUGUGUAAGCUGCUUUCCUUUUCCCUUUUUUCCCCAUUUGUUAUGUAUUUGUUGUGCUUGAAGUCUCUUACUUCCUAAAUCUUGCAUAUCUGCAUACAUGUAUGCCGUGGUUCCUGAGUUUUUGCUCCAGUUCUCUCUUCCAUGAUGAAGCUUUGUUGCUGUUGUUGGAGAUAUUUCCGAAGAUGCCAUGGAAAAAACAGCUUCUUUUGCAAAGAAAUUAGGAGGGAGCUCUAGAAAGCUGAUCCAAGCAACUGUAAUUGAUGUUUCCUCCUCAGGCUUGAACCAUGGAUCCCAAAUCAGAGGUCUCAUCUAGCAGUACCUGUCAUGUACUUUGAGAUAAUAGGCUGGAGUGGACAUCAUCUUCACAUAAUCUUCCAGAAGAGACAAUCUAAUUAAGAUAUAUCUCUCAUCAAUCAAACCUAUUGUAGCUCUACCCUUUAUUCCACAAUGAAUCAAGAUGAUGACUCUUAAUUGUUUCAUGUUAAUUAUUUCAUAUGAAAACUUCCCUUGGACUGCAUAUCGUAGAUCUUCCUUUAUAAUCAUCUGUUGUACUUCUUUAGAGUUCCAUGCUAUGUAGGGUUCUCCAUCUAUGAAUUGGACUGUUUUCGAUGGGAUAUUGAUUUUUUGUGUGUUUUCUGUUGAA